This 947-nucleotide ribosomal RNA is filed under the name Talaromyces erythromellis. RNAcentral describes it as "LSU rRNA". It matches the Rfam family "Eukaryotic large subunit ribosomal RNA", at positions 24 to 980 of the family's 3401-position model. The record is from RNAcentral. Lineage: Eukaryota; Fungi; Ascomycota; Eurotiomycetes; Eurotiales; Trichocomaceae.
UAACCCCGCCUGGGACUUAAGCAUAUCAAUAAGCGGAGGAAAAAGAAACCAACCGGGAUUGCCUCAGUAACGGCGAGUGAAGCGGCAAGAGCUCAAAUUUGAAAUCUGGCCCCUUUGGGGUCCGAGUUGUAAUUUGGAGAGGAUGCUUCGGGUGCGGCCCCUAUCUAAGUGCCCUGGAACGGGCCGUCAUAGAGGGUGAGAAUCCCGUCUGGGAUGGGCGGCCGUGCCCGUGUGAAGCUCCUUCGACGAGUCGAGUUGUUUGGGAAUGCAGCUCUAAGCGGGUGGUAAAUUUCAUCUAAAGCUAAAUACUGGCCGGAGACCGAUAGCGCACAAGUAGAGUGAUCGAAAGAUGAAAAGCACUUUGAAAAGAGAGUUAAACAGCACGUGAAAUUGUUGAAAGGGAAGCGUUGGCCACCAGACGCGCCCGAGGGGGUUCAGCCGGCACUUGUGCCGGUGCACUCCCCCCCGGGUGGGCCAGCAUCGGUUUGGGCGGUCGCUGAAAGGCUCCAGGAAUGUAGCACCCUCCGGGGUGCCUUAUAGCCUGGGGUGUCAUGCGGCCCGCCUGGACCGAGGCCCGCGCUUCGGCGAGGAUGCUGGCGUAAUGGUGGUCAACGGCCCGUCUUGAAACACGGACCAAGGAGUCUAACAUCUAUGCGAGUGUUCGGGUGUCAAACCCGUCCGCGCAGUGAAAGCGAACGCAGGUGGGAACCCUUCGGGGCGCACCAUCGACCGAUCCUGAUGUCUUCGGAUGGAUUUGAGUAAGAGCAUAGCUGUUGGGACCCGAAAGAUGGUGAACUAUGCCUGAAUAGGGCGAAGCCAGAGGAAACUCUGGUGGAGGCUCGCAGCGGUUCUGACGUGCAAAUCGAUCGUCAAAUUUGGGGUAUAGGGGCGAAAGACUAAUCGAACCAUCUGGUAGCUGGUUCCUGCCGAAGUUUCCCCUCAGGAAA